Molecule: ribosomal RNA, 253 nt
Filed under: uncultured bacterium
Lineage: Bacteria
Description: partial 16S ribosomal RNA
Rfam family: Bacterial small subunit ribosomal RNA
Source: RNAcentral
UACAGAGGGGGCAAGCGUUGUUCGGAAUUACUGGGCGUAAAGGGCGCGUAGGCGGCCUUCUAAGUCGAAUGUGAAAUCCCCGGGCUCAACCCGGGAACUGCGUCCGAUACUGGAAGGCUUGAAUCCGGGAGAGGGAUGCGGAAUUCCAGGUGUAGCGGUGAAAUGCGUAGAUAUCUGGAGGAACACCGGUGGCGAAGGCGGCAUCCUGGACCGGUAUUGACGCUGAGGCGCGAAAGCCAGGGGAGCAAACGGG